This 459-nucleotide ribosomal RNA is filed under the name uncultured organism. RNAcentral's name for it is "partial 16S ribosomal RNA". It matches the Rfam family "Bacterial small subunit ribosomal RNA", at positions 332 to 799 of the family's 1533-position model. The record is from RNAcentral.
UACACUCCUGCGGGAGGCAGCAGUGGGGAAUAUUGCACAAUGGGCGCAAGCCUGAUGCAGCGACGCCGCGUGGGGGAUGAAGGCCUUCGGGUUGUAAACUCCUUUCGCUAGGGACGAAGCUUUUUUGUGACGGUACCUAGAUAAGAAGCACCGGCUAACUACGUGCCAGCAGCCGCGGUAAUACGUAGGGUGCGAGCGUUGUCCGGAAUUACUGGGCGUAAAGGGCUCGUAGGUGGUUUGUCGCGUCGUCUGUGAAAUUCUGGGGCUUAACUCCGGGCGUGCAGGCGAUACGGGCAUAACUUGAGUGCUGUAGGGGUAACUGGAAUUCCUGGUGUAGCGGUGAAAUGCGCAGAUAUCAGGAGGAACACCGAUGGCGAAGGCAGGUUACUGGGCAGUUACUGACGCUGAGGAGCGAAAGCAUGGGUAGCGAACAGGAUUAGAAACCCCAUUAGUCCCAUG